AUUGAACGCUGGCGGCAGGCCUAACACAUGCAAGUCGAGCGGCAGCGGAAAGUAGCUUGCUACUUUGCCGGCGAGCGGCGGACGGGUGAGUAAUGUCUGGGAAACUGCCUGAUGGAGGGGGAUAACUACUGGAAACGGUAGCUAAUACCGCAUAACGUCGCAAGACCAAAGAGGGGGACCUUCGGGCCUCUUGCCAUCAGAUGUGCCCAGAUGGGAUUAGCUAGUAGGUGGGGUAAUGGCUCACCUAGGCGACGAUCCCUAGCUGGUCUGAGAGGAUGACCAGCAACACUGGAACUGAGACACGGACCAGACUCCUACGGGGGGCAGCAGUGGUGAAUAUUGCGAAAUGGGCGCGAUCCUGAUGGAGCCAGGCCGCGUGUAUGAAGAAGGCCUUCGGGUUGUAAAGUACUUUCGGCGGGGAGGAAGGCGGUGAAGUUAAUAACUUCACCUAUUGACGUUACCCGCAGAAGAAGCACCGGCUAACUCCGUGCCAGCCGCCGCCGUAA
RNAcentral lists this ribosomal RNA (506 nucleotides) under uncultured bacterium. Its description in RNAcentral is "partial 16S ribosomal RNA". It matches the Rfam family "Bacterial small subunit ribosomal RNA", at positions 30 to 523 of the family's 1533-position model. The record is from RNAcentral.